Molecule: transfer RNA, 71 nt
Filed under: Nucifraga columbiana
Lineage: Eukaryota; Metazoa; Chordata; Aves; Passeriformes; Corvidae
Description: tRNA-Glu
Rfam family: tRNA
About the family: Transfer RNA (tRNA) molecules are approximately 80 nucleotides in length. Their secondary structure includes four short double-helical elements and three loops (D, anti-codon, and T loops).
Source: RNAcentral
GUUCCUGUAGUUAAAUUUUAUAACAAUGGUUUUUCAGACCAUAGAUCUUGGGGAGGAGCCAAGUAGGAACU